This is a long non-coding RNA of Drosophila obscura, 1128 nucleotides long. RefSeq lists it as uncharacterized. Lineage: Eukaryota; Metazoa; Arthropoda; Insecta; Diptera; Drosophilidae. The record is from RefSeq and is a predicted model, not a curated record. The transcript has 2 exons.
GCGUCGCUCCAAAAAAGAAAUGUAUAAUUCCCAGUGUCAGUCCGGCGAAAAAUAUGUUAUAAACAAAUAAUAUGAAAAUCCAAACCCCAAACAGUAUUUAACGCGUGUGUUCCCGUCCGCUGGCCCUCGCCAGUCGCCUUUGCCGCGAAUCCACGAUUGUGUGAGUGUGUUUCUGUGUCUGUAUUCGUUGAAUGAUGUGGCUGUGCCGUUUUUUCCAAAUUGCCGUUGAUUACAAGCCGAGACAGUACGAUCACACGCACACACUUGCAAACAAAGACUUUACCGAAAUAAUGAGUGGGGACGGGACGGAUGCAGGCAGCAUUUACAGUUCGACGGGCUCCGCGACGCUCUGCUCUUUUCCCUCGAAUGCAGCGCCUAAUUAGAAAUGAUUUAAUUUCAAUAACGACUUAAUAAAAAUGAAUUUGCGAAACGAAAUUGACGAGAAGAAUAACGUGAAAGGCCUGAGCAGAGAUCGCAUCGGACCAGACCAGGCUCCUCGUGCGUGUGUAUGCAUGUAUUGGUGUGUUUGUGUGUAAUUCGCCAUACUUCUUCCUCAAUGCCUCAAUUCAAAGAACAGACAGAAGAAGAGCACUAAAACAACAAGAACAAGAACAGCGGCAAAAGGCAAGACAUACUUGAAAAAUAAAAGCAGCGCUGCCCCGAUCGUUACUCACUCACACAACGGCACUCACUCACUCCAGUAGUAGUCGCUGCCUCUCUUGCUCCAUCGCUUUGCUCUCCAUUGCUGUACUCUCGCGCGCGUGUGUGUAAGCUUUGCCUGCCAUGUCUGUGUUGCGGUUCUUUGUCGGAGUUGCCACACAGCCUCGAAAUACGUCGAAUUUUAAAUUGGAAACGAACAAGCGCCGCACGGACACUUCGUUGAAAUAGUUGAAGCAUGUAUGUACGUACAUGUGAACGAGUGUGUGUAUGUAGGUUCUGUAUUCCGCUGAUAAGACACGCAGAACCGCCUGCUCCAGAGACUCCCGGCUUAUCAACGAAAAGAGGAAAAAACUGUGUAGCAAAAAUGGGUCGAGCGACGACCGAGCAAGAACAUUGUGUAUUGUUUUUUGUUGUGUUUGCACUAUCGCUUAAUAAUUGAAAUUAAAGAAAAGAAUGAAAAAAAAAAAA